This 253-nucleotide ribosomal RNA is filed under the name uncultured bacterium. RNAcentral's name for it is "partial 16S ribosomal RNA". It matches the Rfam family "Bacterial small subunit ribosomal RNA", at positions 524 to 776 of the family's 1533-position model. The record is from RNAcentral.
UACGAGGGGUGCAAGCGUUAUUCGGAAUGAUUGGGCGUAAAGGGUGCGUAGGCGGUGCGUAAAGUCUGUCGUUAAAGCCCCUGGCUUAACUAGGGAUGUGCGGCGGAUACUAACGUGCUAGAGGAUGGAAGAGAAAAGCGGAACUCUCGGAGUAGCGGUAAAAUGCUUAGAUCCCGAGAGGAACACCAAUGGCGAAGGCAGCUUUUUGGUCCAUUCCUGACGCUGAGGCACGAAAGCGUGGGGAGCAAACAGG